Molecule: long non-coding RNA, 4571 nt
Filed under: Heterocephalus glaber (naked mole-rat)
Lineage: Eukaryota; Metazoa; Chordata; Mammalia; Rodentia; Bathyergidae
Description: lncRNA (ENSHGLG00100034784.1)
Source: RNAcentral
GGAAAUGGAGAUGAGGUGUUUCCUGCAUAUCAGUCUCCUCGCAAACCUGGCUGGUUCUCUUUGGACUUGGAUGUGCCAGAGGCAAUAACAGCUGCCUCUUGGAGCUCAUGGGGAUGGAUGUGAUAUCAAAUCACCCAGCUCUGCAUUCACUUGGUGUGUAGGAAGACCUCAAAAAAUGGGGGCUCCUCCUCCUCACCUGCACUGGGGGAAUGGAAUGAGCAGAAGGGCCAAGAAGAUCUCUGCACCUUGUGGAAUCAGUCAACAGCCUGGCUGGGACACAUCCCCACCCCUGUGCCCCAAUCCCCCACCAUGGCUGCUGCCAUCUCCUCCAUCAUUAAGGUGCCAAUGGGCGCCCCAGACAGCCCAAAUCUAUGCAGACUUCCCCAUUCCCCAUCCAGGGCCUCCACACCCCCAGGAGUAUGUGACAGGGCUGACCUGUGGUGGCCCAGGGAAGCAGAUGGCUUUGUCUCAGGGACUUUUUGCCUACUUUGUGGAGGCAAACAAACUAACAUCCCUGCCUUGCUGGCUGAGGUAUGGAUAAAAUGCUGUAAGACAGUGGUGGUGAACGUAUGGCAUAUGUGCCGCAGUGGGCUGUUUGUUAUCAUUGAAAGCUCUAAAAGGUUCGCCGUCACUGCACUAGGACAUCUGCGCACCUGCCAUGGUUCUUGAUCAAUGUGGGUGUUGUACUAAUAGUAACAAUCACUUGUUGGGCAUUUACCACAUACAAACUUUCCUAUAUUGCAUUAUUUCAUGGAGGCCUCUACCUAAGAGCUAGGUCCCACUUAUUACAUGUUUUAUAGAUGAUGAAGGUGAAGCAUGAAGAGAUAAGUAGCUUGUCUAGGUGCCAGAGCUGGGAAGUACUAGAGCUUGGAAUGGGUACCCCUGGGAUCUGUGCCUGCAGAGCAGAUCAUCUUCCUUAGCUGAAGAAGGUGAGUGGGGAGGACUGCCAGAGUUCAGCAUCCCACAUCUAGGAAGAAAGGCCACAGGGAGACGCAAAGUAUCUGUCCUGGGAGUCCUGUGCCUCGAGGAAGAUGAGGAUUCAGCUGCUGGUCAGGUUCCCUGGGGCUGAGGAACACUGCAGGACAACACACUUGAUCUUAGCCAAAAGGCCAAGAAGUGGGGACGCAGAAUACAGCCCUGUGACUGACUGAGUAAGUUUAUCUGUCAGAAUGGGAAGGGUUUCCAGAGGGAUCUGCACAGGUCUGGGCAUGUUCGGUUCAGGUGUUCCUGGCACCUUAUUACUGUGCAGGAACAGGAGAUUUGGAGUGAGUCAUGAGGAUCUUUACAUGCCACACCAAGUAACUUGUAAUUUUUUUCUAGGAGUGCAGGGUUUUAGAGCAGGAGAGUUUGGGGGCAGGGCUAGAUCCAUUGUUAUGAAAGAUUCUAGCAGGCAGGACCCAGGGUGGACUGUAGGUGGGGUCUGAGGAGAGACAUUCCAAAUGAGAAAUGAUGGAGCAAGAAUGAGGCAGUGAAGGGGUGAGGUCUGCACCCCUAGCAUCUGUAGGUUCUGUUGGCUCCCUGCCCAGGAUCACCUGUGCACCAUUGGGUCUUUCCUACAUACAGAGCCACUGCCCUGCAGACCUUUCCACAAUGGACAAAUAGAUGGCUAUAGAGAGCCUUUUUUUUUUUUUUGGUACUGGGGAUCGAAAUCGGGACCUUUCACUUUCGAGGCAGGCAGCAGAACCACUGAUCUAAAUCCCGGGCCUAGAGAGCCUUUUUGCCACCUGAGCCAUGUGCUUUGAGAGCAUUUAAAAAAAAAAAACCAAUUGUUUUUUGAGAUUUUUUUUGUUUUUUAGGAAAAGCAAUUUUUGAUGCCAGCAUUAACAUGUACAAAGCUUGGAGGCCAUCAUUCCCAUGCUUAUAAAGAGAAAAAAGCUCAAUGAACUGAAAGGGAAUCGCUUAUCUUGGACCCAUGGGGGAAAGGAGGUUGCAGGGCAAACUGCCAUCCCAAAAUCUAGAGACAAAUGCACUCACAGCCACCAUUGGCUUCUUUAGACCAGAAGCAGCUGGAGCCACAAACUAGUAGGAAAAAAAAUUUUUUUUUUUUUUGUACUGGGGAUUGAACUUGAGACCUUACGCUUGUGAGGCAGGCAGCAGAACCACUGAGCUAAAUCCCUGGCCCUACUAGUAGGGAAAUUUAAAUGGUGAUUUUGACAAGUUGAUGGAGGCUAAACGUGGCUUCAUGGCAUAUAGUCAAGAUAAAUCUCCAUUUGUCUCUAGCAAGGAAAAGUAGAAAGUAAACAUUUAAAAAUAUGUUCUAGGCUAGAUGCUGUAGCACAUCCCUGUAAUCCCAGCUACUUGGGAGGCUGAGGCAGGAGGAUAGCUUGAAUCUAGGAGUUUAGGGCCAGCCUGAGACUCCCUCUCAAAACAAAAAAACCUUAUCAGAGCCAUCUCACCCAUAGUUAGAACAAGUUCUCAACAGCGGCUACAUUUAACCUUCCUCAGGAGGAUGGGAAGACAUCCCAUCCUCACAGGUAUCUCUUUGAGUCAUAAUCCAGGACUCAGAUGCACUAAAAAGGUGAUUUAACUAUAAAAUUACAAAAUACUUCCCUUUCCCUAAACCUUACCAUCAUAUCAACAGGGCUCCACUAUAACAGUAGCAGAUUAUAACAAAGAGCUUCAAGACAGACUGAUUGAAGAAAUUCUUAGGGAAACUCAAAGACAACAGAGUAGACAAAACAAAGGACACUAGAGGAAUUUAAACAUGGCGGGUAAAGUUAGAGGAAACAAACUCAGUCUGACUCCUAAAUAAAACACCAAGUCUCCACUAAAUCUUUACUUACCUCAGUUCCUUUACCUUCAUGCUAAAAGGCAAGAAAAAAAAAUAGUCUACAGAGACAAAGCAAGCAUAGAACUAAGUUCAGAUAUGAUACAGAUUUUGGAAUUAUCAGCCAGGAAAUUUUAAAUAACUGUCUAAUAUAUUAAGGGCUCUGAUGGAAAAAGUAGACAGCACACAAGAACAGAUGAGUAAUAUAAGCAGGUGAGAACUCAGAGUGAAUGGAGAUGCUAGAAGUAAAACCACUGUAAUAGAGAUGAAGAAUGCCCUUGAUGAGAUCAUAAAUAGACUGGACACAGCUGAGGGAAAAAUUGGCGAUUCUAAAGAUAUGAUGGAAAUGUACCCAACUGAACUGCAAAAAGAGAAGAGAAUUUUUUUAAAGAAGCACAAUAAGCCAAGUGUGCUGGUGCAUGCCUACAAUCCUAGCAAUUGGGAAGCCGAGGCAGGAGAAUCCCACUGAGUUUGGGGGGCAGGGCUCCUGAGCUACAUAGUGAGACCCUGUCUCAACAACAACAGCAACAAACUGUAAAAAGGUAUAACAUACAAACUAUUGGAACACCACAGAUGAAGAAAGGGAGAACAGAGCAGGAGAAAUAUUUUAAAUAAUAAUGGCUGAUAAUUUUCUAAAAUUAAUGGGAGAUACUAAACUACAAGCCUAGUAAGCUUAGGAACACUAAUUAGUAUUAAUACCAAAUUAGUAUUAAUUAGUAUUAAUACCCCCCAAAAACUCCACAUACAAAAAAACACAAACAACCAAGAAAACCCCCAAACCCAAGACAAAAAUUCAAUACCUAGACAUCUAUUCAAAUUAUAGAAAAUAAAAAACAGCCGAGUGUGGUGGUGCACACCUGUGAUUCCAGCACUUGGGAGGAUGAAGCAAGAGGAUCACUGCAAAUUCAAGGGCAGCCUGGGCUAAUAGUGAGUUCAAGGCCGGCCUGAACUACAUACUGAGAACUUGUCUCGAAAAACCCCAAGAUAAAUAAAUAACAAAAAAUAUUGAAGAAACCACCAAAAAGCCCAGAUUACGUACAGAAGAAACAGGAACCUGACUUCUUGGCAGACACCAUGCAAGCAAGAAGAAAGGGGAGUGAAAAAAGGAUUUUUUUUACUGUGUUGGGGAUGAAGCCAGAACCUCAGGCAUGCCAGGCAAGCACUUCUCACUGAGCUGUACCCUUAGUCCUCAGAAUAUUUUAGGUGUUGAAAGAAAAAAACCUCAUCAACUUAGAAUUCUAUAUCCAGCCAAAGUAUUUUCCAAAAGUAUAUGUAGUAAAGGUCACUCAAUUUUAUGCUUAAGAUGAUUUAAAUGGUAAAGUUUAGUUAUAAAAAUGUUAUUUUAAAAAAGAAAUAAAAACUUUAUCAAACAAAAAAAUGAAAUUUAUUUCCAGCAGACACACCCUGCAAGAUAUGUGAAAAGAAGUUCUUUAGUAAAAAAGAAAAUGACAUAGGUCUGAAACUCAGAUCUAUAUUAAGAAAGGAAAUGUGUUGAAAAAGAAUAAAGACUUUCAGAAUCAAGCGAUUCCUGGCCAAGAAGCAAAGCAGAAUCGUCCCAUUCCUCAAUGGAUUCGGAUGAAGACUGGUAAUAAAAUCAGGUACAACUCCAAGAGGAGACACUGGAGGAGGACCAAGCUGGGACUGUAAAGAAUUGAACAUGUGAUGCAGCAUAUUUUUCUCCCGAGAGUCACAAAAUGAUACAUUCUUUGUCACGGUCGAGAUUACCCUAUCAAGCUAAUACAAUUGGCUGGACAGUUGAAUGUGCUUAAUCAGGAAUCUUGUUCUGUGAUUGCACUGAGUCAAC